Long non-coding RNA from Mesoplodon densirostris (Blainville's beaked whale), 442 nucleotides. RefSeq lists it as uncharacterized. The record is from RefSeq and is a predicted model, not a curated record. The transcript has 3 exons. NCBI's taxonomy places the organism in Eukaryota, Metazoa, Chordata, Mammalia, Artiodactyla, Ziphiidae.
AGGGAAAGAGGCUGACCGCCCGCAGACAGAGUAAUAGACAUGGACGCAGAGUAGUGAAAGUGACCGGGAAGGCAGCGAGCCAGAUGGUCACAAAGACGGCAGGAACGUGAGACCAGUGAGGGGAAGAGAUUGGUACCAAACAAGAAGAUAGAAAGAAAAGGAAAAGAGUGUCACAGUGAAAGUUAAAUACAAUUAAGGCUAAAAAGGAGAUAAAUUUGGGCUUCCCUGGUGGUGCAGUGUUAAGAAUCCACCUGCCAAUGCAGGGGACAUGGGUUCGAGCCCUGGUCCGGGAAGAUCCCACAUGCCGCGGAGCAACUAAGCCCGUGCGCCACAACUACUGAGCCUGCGCUCUAGAGCCCACAAGGCACAACUACUGAAGCCCGUGCGCCUAGAGCACAUGCUCUGCAACAAAAGAAGCCACCGCAAUGAGAAGCCCGUGCAC